Molecule: ribosomal RNA, 380 nt
Filed under: uncultured bacterium
Lineage: Bacteria
Description: bacterial SSU rRNA
Rfam family: Bacterial small subunit ribosomal RNA
Source: RNAcentral
ACUCCUACGGGAGGCAGCAGUGGGGAAUAUUGCACAAUGGGGGAAACCCUGAUGCAGCCAUGCCGCGUGUGUGAAGAAGGCCUUCGGUUGUAAAGCACUUUCAGUAGGGAGGAAGGUAGUGUAGUUAACACCUGCAUUAUUUGUACGUUACCUACAGAAGAAGCACCGGCUAACUCCGUGCCAGCAGCCGCGGUAAGUACGGAGGGUGCGAGCGUUAAUCGGAAUUACUGGGCGUAAAGCGCAUGCAGGCGGCCUGUUAAGUCAGAUGUGAAAGCCCGGGGUCUUAACCUCGGAAUUGCAUUUGAAACUGGCGAGGCUAGAGUCUUGGUAGAGGGGUUAGAAUUUCAGGUGUAGCGGUGAAAUGCGUAGAGAUCUGAAGG